AGGCCCUAGGGUUGUAAAGCUCUUUAACGGUGGAAGAUAAUGACGGUAGCCGUAGAAGAAGCCCCGGCUAACUUCUUGCCAGCAGCCGCGGUAAUACCAAGGGGGCUAGCGUUGUUCGGAAUUACUGGGCGUAAAGCGCACGUAGGCGGAUUGAUCAGUUGGGGGUGAAAUCCCAGGGCUCAACCCUGGAACUGCCUUCAAUACUGCAUGUCUAGAGGUUGAGAGAGGUGAGUGGAAUUCCAAGUGUAGAGGGGAAA
Molecule: ribosomal RNA, 257 nt
Filed under: uncultured Alphaproteobacteria bacterium
Lineage: Bacteria; Pseudomonadati; Pseudomonadota; Alphaproteobacteria
Description: partial 16S ribosomal RNA
Rfam family: Bacterial small subunit ribosomal RNA
Source: RNAcentral